Pelodiscus sinensis (Chinese soft-shelled turtle) is the source of this 239-nucleotide non-coding RNA. Lineage: Eukaryota; Metazoa; Chordata; Testudines; Trionychidae. The record is from RefSeq and is a predicted model, not a curated record.
UUGAAGUCUUAGAAAUGGGAACACUGCUUCUCCUCUUCAGAAUAGGCUUCUGAAUUUUAAAUCCCUGAAAGACAAGCAACAAGCUCAACUAAAGUAGACAAGCCUCAGGUAGGAGCUUGUGUUCCAUCACUGUCUGGAUUAGAGCCAAAGGGAACAUGGCAUACUCUAAAGAUGGGAGGGAGGCCUUGAAGCUGGGCCUAAUAUUGUACACUCACAUCAGGGAUGCUUCUGGAACCAAC